This 497-nucleotide ribosomal RNA is filed under the name uncultured bacterium. RNAcentral describes it as "partial 16S ribosomal RNA". It matches the Rfam family "Bacterial small subunit ribosomal RNA", at positions 28 to 507 of the family's 1533-position model. The record is from RNAcentral.
GAUGAACGCUGGCGGCGUGCCUAAUACAUGCAAGUCGAGCGAACAGACGAGGAGCUUGCUCCUCUGACGUUAGCGGCGGACGGGUGAGUAACACGUGGAUAACCUACCUAUAAGACUGGGAUAACUUCGGGAAACCGGAGCUAAUACCGGAUAACAUGUUGAACCGCAUGGUUUAACAGUGAAAGACGGUCUUGCUGUCACUUAUAGAUGGAUCCGCGCCGCAUUAGCUAGUUGGUAAGGUAACGGCUUACCAAGGCAACGAUGCGUAGCCGACCUGAGAGGGUGAUCGGCCACACUGGAACUGAGACACGGUCCAGACUCCUAAGGGAGGCAGCAGUAGGGAAUCUUCCGCAAUGGGCGAAAGCCUGACGGAGCAACGCCGCGUGAGUGAAGAAGGUCUUCGGAUCGUAAAACUCUGUUAUUAGGGAAGAACAAAUGUGUAAGUAACUAUGCACGUCUUGACGGUACCUAAUCAGAAAGCCACGGCUAACUACGUG